GUAGGAGGAGGAAGCCAAUGUGGGGGAGGCUCAUCUGAUGGAUCAGGGUUAGAAUUUAAGGGGUUAAGUGUGGGUUAGGAAAGGAGGAAAAGUUUCUUCCAGUAAGAGUGUCUGGUGUGCAGAGUAAGUUUGGCAGAGCAAGCCUGGCGUUGCCUCCCACAUAGAUAGUUAUCAAGGUAUUUUUUAGAAGGCAACACAAAGGGGUAUCUGCCAUCCUACUCCAAUCUCUCCGGAAAUCCACAAAAAACCCAGUCCUGUAGGACCUCCUAGGGAUCUGGGAUUCUCUAUGUGGCCCAACCAUGUCAGAGAAGGUUUUUCUGGGAAAUCAGGCAGGGGAAGAAAUUUUGGAGCCUGUAAUAAUUAUACUCUGCCAGAAUCUGAGAAAUUUAGAAGCCCAUUAUUUGUUCUAGUCAUUCAAGGUCAUUUAUAGAAAAGGAGACAUGAACCCUGAUGGGGGCCCUGGAUACUGGAUGGGGAAGGGCACCAGUUUGACAGCAGAUGUGAGGAGAUCUUUGCUGGGAAGGAGGUGAUUUUCUGCUGACUCUUCCCCUGAAGGGAAUCCUGCAAAUUAUUGUUAGUGUGCACUUGUGGAGGAGCAGAGGAAGAAAAAUUACUCUGAGUAUAAAUUCAGCUUUAACUCCAAGAGGCCCAAAGAGACUGCUUCACAAACAUUCAUCAGCAUUAGAGAGUCUCAUGAGGACAUCCCAGAUGUGAAAAAACCCUGGCCUUUUAUUUGUAACCCAGCUGUGAGAACAAAGGUACUGAAGAAAAACAUUUGUGUAGGAAUUUUUGUCAGAGGAAAGGGAAAGAACAAGAUGGUCUGCUGAGCAAGUUAAUGGAGCCAUGAAGAACACAAUGACUGGAGCAAACAUCUCUAAAAGUAACUUUGUUUUAUGAAUCUUGAACAUCUAUUGGUAUUUUCUCUGGACACAUUUGGUUUUGUUUGCUUUUUUUUUUUCCAGUACUAAGGAUAGAAUUCAAAACCUUCACACCGAGCUACAUUCCCAAUACUUUUUGUUUUUUAUUUUUUAUUUUUUUGGUACCAGAGAUUGACCUCGGGACCUUGCGCUUGUGAGGCAGGUGCCGGAACCACUGAGCUAAAUCCCUGGCCCUUUCUUUUUUAUGUUGAGCAGGGUAUCAUUAAGUUGUCGAGGCUGGGCUUGAACUUGUGAUUCUCCAGCUUCAGCUUUCCAGAGUACUGAGAUUUCAGGGAUGUGCCAAUAUAUCUGUCCUUGACAGAUUUGAUUUUUAUGUAAAAGUGUACAUUUACUAUGUAUACUUCAUUUACUAUGCUUGCAAUAUAACCCUAGAACAUUCUUUUAAUUUAACCAUUACAGUAAACAGUGUCAUUGUAAGAGCUUGCAUAUUACUUAAAAUUUAUAGCAAAUAGUAGUUUUGAACAAAGUGUUACUAAGGAUAUUUUUUAGUACUGUGGCA
RNAcentral lists this long non-coding RNA (1437 nucleotides) under Heterocephalus glaber (naked mole-rat). RNAcentral describes it as "lncRNA (ENSHGLG00100051387.1)". Lineage: Eukaryota; Metazoa; Chordata; Mammalia; Rodentia; Bathyergidae. The record is from RNAcentral.